Molecule: small nuclear RNA, 186 nt
Organism: Schistocerca gregaria
Lineage: Eukaryota; Metazoa; Arthropoda; Insecta; Orthoptera; Acrididae
Product: U2 spliceosomal RNA
Exons: 1
Source: RefSeq, a predicted model, not a curated record
AUUUCUUCUUAAUAUUCUCUCAUCAGAUAUAAAAAUCUCUUCUAAUCAGCUUAAUAUCUGUUACGUUCUGCACCACAGAACUAGAAUAUUAAACUCAUUUUUGACUCAUGAUAGAGUGCUAACAGCAUGCCCUAUCUCUGUCAUGAUAUCUCUUAAGGUAGCAGCACAGAGAAGUUGUAAAUAUCA